RNAcentral lists this long non-coding RNA (604 nucleotides) under Triticum aestivum (bread wheat). RNAcentral describes it as "long non-coding RNA (TAES_LNC012481)". Lineage: Eukaryota; Viridiplantae; Streptophyta; Magnoliopsida; Poales; Poaceae. The record is from RNAcentral.
CCGCUUACCAUUUAUUAUUUUCUCUUGCAACGUCCAAUAUUUUCUACAUGAGUAACAAGAUUACUACACCCACAUCCAAAUCUCUUCUGCAAUUAUCAUGCAGAUCCCAUCAGAUCGUCGUUACUCGUUACACAAGGCCAUCCGUCCUUGGCACACUAAUCAUCAUGAAUUUAGUUCAUCAGUUGCGUUGUGGUUGGGGAAGGAGGGAUUUGCAAUAAUAGUUGCACUUGCAUCCCUCAGGGACGCAGAUGCCUUCUCCUCUGACGUACUUCUUCAGGCAGUCCGUGUAGCACGUGACCGCUCGGCAUUUGCCGGAGUAGAUCACCUUCGAGCAAUCGUACUGAGGAGGAAUUUGCGCCGCCAAGGCUGUGUAUGUAUGUAAACACAAGGAAAUUCAGGCCAUGGUCAACCAUGUUAGAUUAAUUGCCCAUAACAAAAUCAUAUCAGAUGGAUCGGAAGUAAAUACCUGAGGAUGACACUAGAAGGACAGUGGCUAGAAGAAUUAGCAGUUUAUUCAAAGUCGCCAUGGAUCGUCUCUUGUAGUCAAAGUUGGAACCGAGAAACUCACCAGGGCUUUUUGUUCUGAUGGUACCUUGUCUCUUGG